Molecule: ribosomal RNA, 1370 nt
Filed under: Sterkiella sp. Aspen
Lineage: Eukaryota; Ciliophora; Spirotrichea; Sporadotrichida; Oxytrichidae
Description: eukaryotic LSU rRNA
Rfam family: Eukaryotic large subunit ribosomal RNA
Source: RNAcentral
UGUAUCUGAAAUCAAGCAGGAUCACCCGCUGAACUUAAGCAUAUCACUAAGCGGAGGAGAAGAAAUUAACUAAGAUUGCCUCAGUAACGGCGAGUGAAGCGGCAAAAGCCCAAACCGUAAAUCUUGUGCACUACGUGUACACGAAUUGUAAUCUAGAGAGAGUUCACUCAACGGGCGGGGGCGCAGAAGUGACCACGAACGGUCCGCCAGAGAGGGUGAAAGCCCCGUAUGUGGUGUCCCUGCUUAACGAGUGGGUUUUCGAAGAGUCGGGUUGUUUUGUAUUGCAGCCCUAAGUGGGAGAUAAACUUCUUCUAAGGCUAAAUAUUAAUAGGAAACCCGAUAGCGAACAAGUACUGUGAAGGAAAGAUGAAAAGAACUUUGAAAAGAGAGUCAAAAGACUUGAAAUCGUUGAGAAGGAAGGGGUAGAAAUUUAUUCUUCGGUGCAUGCAGAGUUUAGUCGCCUAACCAUUGCGGGCUAAGGAUACGUCAAAGGUCCUGGUUUGUACCUGGGGAAGUGACUGGGUGAGUGUGCAUCGUGAGCCAAGAUGGGGUCGGACAGCCACAAAGGCUCUGUACAACCGGUUUCCUUCGGGAGGCAGUGUGCGGAUGUCGGUGGAGGUUCGGCCUGAGGAAGCUUCGGCGAUCUUGGCAAAAUGGUUUUUACCCACCCGUCUUGAAACACGGACCAAGGAGUCUAACAUGUAUGCGAGUGUGCUAGUGGAAAAACUAACACGCGUAAUGAAGGUGAUUGAUGCCAAGCGCAAGCAGCAGCAUCGACCGACCAUGAUCCUCUGGUGAAAGGUUUGAGUACGAGCAUAAAUGUUAGGACCCGAAAGAUGGUGAACUAUGCCUGAGUAGGGUGAAGCCAGGGGAAACUCUGGUGGAGGCUCGUAGCGGUUCUGACGUGCAAAUCGAUCGUCGAACUUGGGUAUAGGGGCGAAAGACUAAUCGAACCAUCUAGUAGCUGGUUCCCUCCGAAGUUUCCCUCAGGAUAGCUGGGACAAAUACGCAGUUUUAUUAGGUAAAGCGAAUGAUUAGAGGCCUCGGGGAUGCAAUGUCCUCGACCUAUUCUCAAACUUUAAAUUGGUAAGAACCCUGGCCUUUCUUAAUUGAGGCAUGGGGGCUCAAUGCGUGUCCCAAGUGGGCCAUUUUUGGUAAGCAGAACUGGCGAUGAGGGAUGCUCCUAACGUCGAGUUAAGGUGCCCAACUGCACGCUCAUCAAAUACUACAAAGGGUGUUGGUUCAUCCAGACAGCAGGACGGUGGCCAUGGAAGUCGGAACCCGCUAAGGAGUGUGUAACAACUCACCUGCCGAAUGGACUAGCCCCGAAAAUGGAUGGCGCUAAAGCGUGCGACCGAUACUCGACCAUU